UUGCUGGAAUCCAUCUAAGAGAUGUCUCCUUUUUAAUUCCUCAUUCUUGGCUGCCUGCUAUGUUAGAUGAUCAGAUGUCAUUUCCAUCCCUAAGACAAACAAGAACUACAGGCUGCUUCCGUCUUCACCCAAUCAGGGAUGAGGAUGCCAAGUUCAAGCUCUGCAACAGGAGGUCUGUUCAGUUUGACGUCGGCAACAUGGUCAUGGUGACCGGCGGGAGGAACACUGGGCGUGUAGGAGUGAUCAAGAACUGGGAGAAGCACAAGGGCAUCUUCGAGGUCAUCGACGUGCUGCUUGGAGCUUUUUGCAUGCUAUGUCUAGUUUUCUCCUAUUUGUUGUACAGGAAAACAUAGAAUGGAAUUCAAAUUUGGUGGUCG
Zea mays is the source of this 377-nucleotide RNA transcript. It is a transcript of the gene named 40S ribosomal protein S4 pseudogene, with no coding region annotated. Lineage: Eukaryota; Viridiplantae; Streptophyta; Magnoliopsida; Poales; Poaceae. The transcript is spliced from 3 exons. The record is from RefSeq and is marked validated.